Long non-coding RNA from Triticum dicoccoides, 459 nucleotides. RefSeq lists it as uncharacterized. The transcript is spliced from 4 exons. NCBI's taxonomy places the organism in Eukaryota, Viridiplantae, Streptophyta, Magnoliopsida, Poales, Poaceae. The record is from RefSeq and is a predicted model, not a curated record.
UGCAACAUCUACAACUUUCAGCCAUGCUUAUUGCUAUGCAGACUAUAUAAAUUAAGUUGCAUAUUUGAACUCCAAUAAGGUAUCUUGACUCUACGCUCACUGGAUAAAAUUUGCCUUUUUGCUACAGAAGACAUCACGGAAUUGUGGACUAUAUGCAAGUCAAGGUUACAGCAUUAUGCAUGCCACAAGAGAUGCUGGAAUGCGGUGAAGCACAAAAGAGAAAACUACCUUGAUGCCUUGUGAUAUAUACUCCGUGGAUACUCUGUCAGGCAAUUAUCACAAAGAAGAGAGGGGUUGCAGUAACUAGAAGUGAAGCAACCAAUGGCUCCCCUAUUGUAGGAACAGUCAGGUUGUAUGACUCGUCCACCUCGAAACCGAGCUGCAGAGGAUGAACAGCAACAGAGUCAGACAUUUGCAAUUUGUGACGAAACUCACAGUUCAUCGGAUAAAAUGAGAGCA